GAUGAACGCUAGCUACAGGCUUAACACAUGCAAGUCGAGGGGCAGCAUGAACUUAGCUUGCUAAGUUUGAUGGCGACCGGCGCACGGGUGAGUAACACGUAUCCAACCUGCCGAUGACUCGGGGAUAGCCUUUCGAAAGAAAGAUUAAUACUGGAUAGCAUAACGAGAAGGCAUCUUCUUGUUAUUAAAGAAUUUCGAUAAUCGAUGGGGAUGCGUUCCAUUAGUUUGUUGGCGGGGUAACGGCCCACCAAGACAUCGAUGGAUAGGGGUUCUGAGAGGAAGGUCCCCCACAUUGGAACUGAGACACGGUCCAA
RNAcentral lists this ribosomal RNA (314 nucleotides) under uncultured bacterium. Its description in RNAcentral is "bacterial SSU rRNA". It matches the Rfam family "Bacterial small subunit ribosomal RNA", at positions 28 to 334 of the family's 1533-position model. The record is from RNAcentral.